GCUCAAAUUUGAAAUCUGGCGUCCUCAGGGCGUCCGAGUUGUAAUCUAUAGAGGCGUUUUCCGUGCCGGACCGUGUCCAAGUUCCUUGGAACAGGAUAUCAAAGAGGGUGACAAUCCCGUACUUGACACGACGACCGGUGCUCUGUGAUACGUCUUCUACGAGUCGAGUUGUUUGGGAAUGCAGCUCAAAAUGGGUGGUGAGUUCCAUCUAAAGCUAAAUAUUGGCGAGAGACCGAUAGCGAACAAGUACCGUGAGGGAAAGAUGAAAAGCACUUUGGAAAGAGAGUUAAACAGUACGUGAAAUUGUUGAAAGGGAAACGAUUGAAGUCAGUCGUGACCGAGAGGCUCAGCCGGUUCUGCCGGUGUAUUCCCCUCGGUCGGGUCAACAUCAGUUUUGUCCGGUGGAUAAGGGCGGUAGGAAGGUGGCACCCUCGGGUGUGUUAUAGCCUGCCGUCGCAUACAUCGGGUGAGACUGAGGAACGCAGCUCGCCUUUAUGGCCGGGGUUCGCCCACGUCCGAGCUUAGGAUGUUGACAUAAUGGCUUUAAACGACCCGUCU
Molecule: ribosomal RNA, 558 nt
Filed under: Papiliotrema laurentii
Lineage: Eukaryota; Fungi; Basidiomycota; Tremellomycetes; Tremellales; Rhynchogastremaceae
Description: eukaryotic LSU rRNA
Rfam family: Eukaryotic large subunit ribosomal RNA
Source: RNAcentral